UCACUAUUAUUACUGUUGGGUCAAACCGUCACUAUUUCGAUAACGUUUAUAAUAAAAAUCGUAUCAGUGAUAGCAUUGGAACAUUAAAAUCGUAUGACAAUUUAAUAUACAGUAACUUCACACCUUUUAAUCCGCGAUGAGAUAAGCACAACUACAUAGCUACAAUAUUAGACCCAUUUUUAACCAACUGAAAAGACUGAUGAUUGUUGAUGAAGCGAAAGAGGUAUGUAAGAUUCGUAGCAAUUGGCGUUCCAUAGUCUCUGCCUACCUCUAUAGGAGACAGGGGUUAUGUUUGUAUUUUAACCAUUUAUGUCAUGAGUCUCAUUUUCAUGUAAUAGAGUCCACCGAAGCUUCAAUUUAAUUUUCCUUUUUGUGUGGAAGUAUUGAAGUAUUCAAACAUAAACUCACGCCUUUAUCGAUUAUUGUGGGCAUAAUCUACAGAGCAUUACCUAUUUUGAUCCUUCUAUACUUCUUGCUUCUAUCACUUGAAUACAUUUAAUGAUACAAACACACAGUAUCCCAUACAUACAUACAUACAUAACCUCACGCCUGUCUCCCAUGGGAGUAGACAGAGACAAUUGAACGCCACUUCUUACAUUCCCAUUCGCUUCAUCAACAGUCAUCAGACUUUUCAUGCAUGCUCGUCGAUUAAAGGUACUUUUAAUUUGGCAGUAUCCAAUAAGAUUUCCAUAACUAUUUUAUACUUCUUCCUAGCCAUUCGAGAGAUAAAAAAGCGAGAUGUUACGCUACGUUUUUAUUGAUAUUUAUAAAAGUGACCUCAAUAUCAACAAAAACAGACUAUGUAUCUAAUUCUAAUGUAAUGCACCAUUGACUAUCACACAAAUACUUGGCAAUGAAACAUUUCGUAGAAAUAAAUAGGUCGUUGUGACUUUGUACUAUGUUACCAUGCUAAUUUUGUUAUUGACUUAUAAAUAAAAUUGUAGUGUCUGUUUGUAAUAUUGAAAUGAAAUAAACGCUUUUUUAUUACAUGUAUAUGAAUAUACACUAAAAUAAUAUUUGUCUGUCUGUUUGUUCUCGCUAAUCUCUAAAAUGGCUGGACCGAUUUUGAAGGUACUUUUAUUAACAGGCAGUUGAUGUACUAAGGAGUAACUUAGGCUCUUUAUGUUACAAAGUCCAUAAUCCUCGUGAGCGAAGCCGCUUGCAUCAAGUUCUACAGUAAAAUAAGGAUGGAAAACAUACCUAAUCAAGCCAUAGGCAUUAGGCAUAUCCUAAUCGCAAUUUAUUUAUAAAAAUUAAGUACUAAUAUAUAAUAUGUAACAAAUAUUACUAAUAUAUAAUAAAUAUAAUAACUAAUUUAUUUUUAGAUGACAUUAUCACAUUACAUGACUGUAUAUGGAUGUGGGAAACCGCAAAGCCGUAUCAUGUAAUAGUUACUUACGCCAACGCAAUUUGUUUUAAAUAAUACAAGAUUAAAACAUAAUAAUACAUUUUACUAUUACCAUAAAUGUAAAAAGUCGGUCGAUGCAAUUAUUAAAUAAAUUCUAUUUAUUUGCAAUAAUUUUUUAUCAGCUAUUUUAGUACAAUUUUCCUUAUUUACACAGAAAAACAAACAAAACAUGCGUUAUUUCACGCCGGUUUGUGUGUGAGGCCGUGGUAUCACUCCGGUGGAGCCUUUAGCAUUGCUCUCACAUGUGUAUGUUUUUAAAGUGUUUAUCUUUCAGGGAGGAAAUCACUUAAUCACUUCUCGCAUGAGAGCAGAGCGAGUGUCAGACUCUUACUAACUAAAAACCACCCCGUUCCUACUCCUGCUUUUUGAGCCAGAGCCCCGGUAACCCGCUAGGCAGUCUGCAGCAAAGUAAUUCUGGCUCAGAACUUAGACAAAUUAACAACAAACUAAAUAUGAAAAUUGGUUCAGCCAUUAAAAACAUAUAAACAAGUAAUUGCAGCUAACUUGAUAUAAUAGGGAUGAUGACGGGGUAUGGAAAUUAAAAAUCUAUUUAGUCCGUCAGUUAGGUAAUGAAAAAAAUAUUAGAUACGUUUUUUUUUGUCAUAUAGAUAACAAUUAUUUAGAUAGAACGCAUCAAAGUAAUUAACAAGUCGGUCAUUAAAAUAAAAAUCAUCUACAUAGCCUAUUGACUAUAUUUUUUAAUGUUGAAUAAUAUUGUAAAAUGUAGAUACCUAUAUCUUCAGUACAUACGUACUAUGUAAUAAUGUACAUAUCUGAGUUGUUGAAAUGUAAUAAGAAUAAAGUAGGUAUUGUAUUACUAUUCAAGGAAAAUAAUAGACACUGUUUAUGUUCUCAGGCUAACAGAAUUACAUAGAAUGCCUUAUUAUGCUAAUUACAGAAUUAAUCAUGUAAAAUACCGCUUUUAUACAUAAAAUAGGUACCUAUAUGUUAUGACUACUUCAGAUAGAAGCGUCAAUACCAUUUUUGGAAAUAAAAACACCAGACAAUUGCAAUUGUUUGUUUGAUUGAACGCGCUCAUCUCAUGAACUACUGGUUCGAUUUUGAAAAAAAAAAACCUUUUUAUGGCAUAUUCCAUAAAACAUCACGCUGCCGUGCAUAGGAACCGAGCAGCGGAGGAAACCGCACGAAAACAGCUAGUACCUAAUAUAUCUCGAAUCAAAUAAUACUUUGCUCGACUUGAGAGAAUAUACCAACGAAUUGCAAGACCUUCCUUAUUAUUAACCUCGAGAAAUCAACCCGAAACCUUGCCCCAUUCACCUAUCUAUACUUUCUAUCAAAAGUAAUUUACUAAUGUCACGUUAAAACUAACUUUAACACUAACUUACGUGCAAAGAAAACUGUUCCCUUGAACAGUAAUAAUACAGUAGGUACAGGUACACGAUUUUUCCGCAUAAUGGCUUAGUGACGUCAUCGCCGCAAAUUGCUCGUUGCGUAAUAGCGCGCUAUAGUAUAGCAAAGUGACCCCAUAAACCAGUUUCGGAGUCUCACUGACCAACGACCAAAUAACAAGAGAGAAGGCCGACUCAUUGUACAAAAAAUCACUCGAAAUAAUAUCGUUUUUAAUCUGCACAAUUGUUGAUUUUUAUAUUUUAUUUGUGGUUCUGUUUCGUGUUAAUUUUCUUGUUUGAUUUAUUCGAUCAUUAAGUCUUUGACUGCCAAUAGAAAACUGUUGAAGGCAAAUCCUCCGCUAACGUCGGUCACCGGUGACCACCACGGCGUUCAAUGUGUUAAAUAAAU
This is a long non-coding RNA of Spodoptera frugiperda (fall armyworm), 3166 nucleotides long. RefSeq lists it as uncharacterized. NCBI's taxonomy places the organism in Eukaryota, Metazoa, Arthropoda, Insecta, Lepidoptera, Noctuidae. The record is from RefSeq and is a predicted model, not a curated record. The transcript is spliced from 2 exons.